Balaenoptera acutorostrata (minke whale) is the source of this 920-nucleotide long non-coding RNA. RefSeq lists it as uncharacterized. Lineage: Eukaryota; Metazoa; Chordata; Mammalia; Artiodactyla; Balaenopteridae. The record is from RefSeq and is a predicted model, not a curated record. The transcript is spliced from 3 exons.
GCUCUGGCACCUGCUGUCCCCACAGCUCCUGGUGUGAGUGCUGGGCAUGGAGAGCGAACCCACAGGAGGGCGGAGUUCAUGACCACUCCAAGCGCUGUCUUCGAGGAAAGAAAACUGCCCUGAUGAUCGAGAACUGAUAAGCACCUGAAACCCUGCCCAGGCCUGCGACCACCAGUGCCCGUUUUGCUGUACUUCUUUCUCUUGCUGUGGAUUCCUUAAAAACCAUCAAAGUGCAGUGUAGCCACAAACGGAAGAGUCAGGAAGGUUUGCCACACCUAGCUUAAGUUCACACGCUGCUUUGCAAGUAAAGAAGCUCUGGAUGAAGUCCGGCCCCCAGAGCAAGAAGCACACCGAGGCCAGAGCUGCGGGCUGCGUGGGCUUUUGGGGAUCAGCUGCCGCUGCACAGGGGGCACUUGGGCAGUGACAGCAUGGAGGUGUCAGGUGGCUGUGCUGUGAUGCAUAUGAAUAUCCUCCUCCAAGAAGGCACAGAAACACCGGCAACACAAUUCAACCUGGAAUCGGCAAGCCCAUGACCAGUGAGGCAGGAUGGGAACGUGCAGCCCCAUUCUCCUUCCAGCACAGAGGACAGAAGAGCAAAGAGCAGAGCUGCACUUUAGUUUCCCAGCCUUUUAACAAACUGAAACUUCACUUCAACCAGAACGGGACUGUGGAGCCCACUACCAUCGUUAAAGCAGAUGCUCCACAUUGCUCAUGUGGUGACAGGAACCUCAGAGACUGAAUAUCAUCUGCUGACACACCACUACUGAAAAUGAUGAUCUGGCUCUGCAUUCUCAGCUGUGGCACUACUGCAAUUCUGGACCAAUCAGUUCUUUGUUCGGGUGUGCACGGCAGGAUGUUCAGCUGCGUCCCUGCGUUCUACCCACCGGGUCCAGCAAUCCACGCCCUCACAGAGUGACAAC